GCUUUAAUAGUUGAAUAACAACAACGGCGGUUUUUCGGAUCGCAGGUUUUGGAUUAUAGGCCGAAUUGAAGUA
This 73-nucleotide transfer RNA is filed under the name Eremias multiocellata. RNAcentral describes it as "tRNA-Glu". Lineage: Eukaryota; Metazoa; Chordata; Lepidosauria; Squamata; Lacertidae. The record is from RNAcentral.